This 340-nucleotide ribosomal RNA is filed under the name uncultured Anoxybacillus sp. RNAcentral's name for it is "bacterial SSU rRNA". It matches the Rfam family "Bacterial small subunit ribosomal RNA", at positions 1040 to 1382 of the family's 1533-position model. Lineage: Bacteria; Bacillati; Bacillota; Bacilli; Caryophanales; Anoxybacillaceae. The record is from RNAcentral.
GGUGCAUGGUUGUCGUCAGCUCGUGUCGUGAGAUGUUGGUUAAGUCCCGCAACGAGCGCAACCCUCGACCUUAGUUGCCAGCAUUCAGUUGGGCACUCUAAGGUGACUGCCGGCUAAAAGUCGGAGGAAGGUGGGGAUGACGUCAAAUCAUCAUGCCCCUUAUGACCUGGGCUACACAUGUGCUACAAUGGGCGGUACAAAGGGUCGCGAACCCGCGAGGGGGAGCCAAUCCCAAAAAGCCGCUCUCAGUUCGGAUUGCAGGCUGCAACUCGCCUGCAUGAAGCCGGAAUCGCUAGUAAUCGCGGAUCAGCACGCCGCGGUGAAUACGUUCCCGGGCCUU